AAUCAUAAGAUACAAGAGUGCAAACAGAAAAUUGAGGAGAGUUGGUUUGUAGCAAAGGAAAAAGCUGCUAAGUCCAAAGCAGCAAAAGAGGUCAUAAAAGCUUUGGCUGUAAGGCUUCAUACAAUAUCAGGAAAAGAGAAUGCUGGACAAGAAGGAAAAGUUGGGAGAUGUUCCUACAAAUCUUUGUAAGAGAUGAGUUUGGAUAAUGAAGUUGGAGUGUUGGAGCAAGAAACAAAGAUGUUGGAGCAAGUUCUCGGGAUAAAACUCACACAAGAGACCAAAAAACUAAGGCAGGCUUGUUUUAAAGUAUAUUCAUAUUCUAAGUAGUAAAAAUAGCACUUAUUAGAUGGUUUAAAUACAUUAUUAGAUAUUAACAUAGUUUAGGAAACUGGAUGGUAGAUUUGACUGAUUAGUGUUUAUUGCAAUGCUUGUAUUUUGGUAGGUUUAGUAAGACAAGGUUUUGUAUAGGAGUUAUUACUUUUGAUUUUCAAUAAUAAAAAAUUAUAUAUUA
Non-coding RNA from Arachis ipaensis, 511 nucleotides. The record is from RefSeq and is a predicted model, not a curated record. NCBI's taxonomy places the organism in Eukaryota, Viridiplantae, Streptophyta, Magnoliopsida, Fabales, Fabaceae.